Molecule: transfer RNA, 55 nt
Filed under: Nippostrongylus brasiliensis
Lineage: Eukaryota; Metazoa; Nematoda; Chromadorea; Rhabditida; Heligmosomidae
Description: tRNA-Leu1
Source: RNAcentral
UCAUAUUUAGUAUAUUAAAUAUAUUAGAUUUAGAUUCUAAAGAAAUAAAUAUGAU